AGAGUUUACUAGAGGCUGAGUAUGAUGGUACUCUCACAAACCUUAAGAUCUACCAGCUGAAGGUGACUUCAGGGAUUUUCAAACAUCUUUUAUACCAAAAUCCAAGGGAUUGUUUUUAAAGCUUAUGUUGCCACUGGGAAUGAGUUCUUUAGAUUUUGAUUUUCUAUGAAGAAAAGGAUACGAAAAUGAAAAGAAAGCAGGAGCUGAAAGAAUAGGAGAGAGAAGAGAAGGAGAAAUCAGAAAGGGAAAGAAGAAAACCAAGGACUGAUCCUUGGGAUGCUCCAAAAUUAAUAGGUCUUGGAGAAGAGAGAGUGCUAGCAUGAAGACUGAGAAGGAAUAACCAGUGAGCCAGGAAGCAAAUGAAAAAGAGUAUGGUGUCCUGGAAACCAUGUGAAGAAAAUAUAUUGAGGAAGAGGGAGUCAUCAGCCAUGCCACUGGACUUACAGGCAGCUAAUGAAGUAAACCAACCCAGGGACUUCCUCUAGACUGGGAGGUGCUAACCAAGGGAGUUCUACAGAAAGCAUGCCUGGGGUGAGUGGCUUGGCCUAGCUUUUAGUCUGUCCACAUCAGAGGACACAGUAUGGUGCCUCCCAGUCCUCAUCUGGCCCCCAGACCUUUUUGUUGUUGUUCUAAUAAAAUUUAAAAUCAUUUCCAA
Long non-coding RNA from Herpailurus yagouaroundi (jaguarundi), 655 nucleotides. RefSeq lists it as uncharacterized. The record is from RefSeq and is a predicted model, not a curated record. NCBI's taxonomy places the organism in Eukaryota, Metazoa, Chordata, Mammalia, Carnivora, Felidae. The transcript has 4 exons.